Rhipicephalus microplus (southern cattle tick) is the source of this 807-nucleotide long non-coding RNA. Lineage: Eukaryota; Metazoa; Arthropoda; Arachnida; Ixodida; Ixodidae. The record is from RefSeq and is a predicted model, not a curated record.
UUGACGGCAGUUUAUACAUUUCGUCACGAGAAUAAUUUUCUGCCUCUACCACACCCUCGCACACUCUACUCCUACCUAAAAAAUCUGAAGGCCGGCUUUGGAUUUGAUGAAAAUUUAUUUGCCAUCCUCAAAGACAAAGUGAGAAAUAUUCCAGAGAGAGAGCACCGAGGUAUCAAUUUUUAUUUUUUUGCAUUUGAUUUUUCUGGACUUUAGGUAAACAGCUGAAAUAUUUUUUUUCUUUAGGGGUCCUGAUGUUUGACGAGAUGGGCGUGAGAAGGAGCCUUCAUGUAAAGAAAUCGGAUAUGACACUGCUUGGAAAGGUCGACUUAGCGGAGCGCACGAAGCCUACUGACCAAGUGAAAGAUGGUGACCAUGUGCUAGUGUUCCCUUUCCGACCAUUCCUCGGUGGCUGGUCGCAGACUGUCAGAGCGUUUUGCACGUCAGGGGCUGCACCAGGCUCUGCUAUUGCUAAACUGCUUCUGCAUUGCUUGUACUCCUGUCGAAUUCCGGUGUCGUUGUGGAUGCAGUCACUUGCGAUAACUCUACUUCGAACCGAUCAGCAUUGAACUCUUUGGGUGUCAGCGGUGAUUUCGCCAGAGUAUCAACGUCAUUUGAGCAUCCAUGUGACUCCUCCGAAGUCAUUCAGGUCAUAAUUGACCCACCUCACAUCUUCAAGUGCAUCAGGAAUAACCUUCUGAAGGCUGGAAAAUUCCUGUUGCCUGGUGACAAAGAAGUACAGCAUUUCCACUUUGAAGCUCUGCUAGACUACGAGGAGCAGCAAGCUGGACUUCGGGCUGUGCAAUAGCU